UGGGGAAUAUUGCACAAUGGGCGAAAGCCUGAUGCAGCGACGCCGCGUGAGGGAUGACGGCCUUCGGGUUGUAAACCUCUUUCAGCAGGGAAGAAGCUGCCGGGUUUUCCCGGUGGUGACGGUACCUGCAGAAGAAGCACCGGCUAACUACGUGCCAGCAGCCGCGGUAAUACGUAGGGUGCAAGCGUUGUCCGGAAUUAUUGGGCGUAAAGAGCUCGUAGGCGGCUUGUCGCGUCGGAUGUGAAAGCCCGGGGCUUAACCCCGGGUCUGCAUUCGAUACGGGCAGGCUAGAGUUCGGUAGGGGAGAUCGGAAUUCCUGGUGUAGCGGUGAAAUGCGCAGAUAUCAGGAGGAACACCGGUGGCGAAGGCGGAUCUCUGGGCCGAUACUGACGCUGAGGAGCGAAAGCGUGGGGAGCGAACAGG
Molecule: ribosomal RNA, 423 nt
Filed under: uncultured bacterium
Lineage: Bacteria
Description: bacterial SSU rRNA
Rfam family: Bacterial small subunit ribosomal RNA
Source: RNAcentral